GAGUUGAUCCUGGCUCAGAUUGAACGCUGGCGGCAGGCCUAACACAUGCAAGUCGAACGGUAGCACAGAGAGCUUGCUCUCGGGUGACGAGUGGCGGACGGGUGAGUAAUGUCUGGGAAACUGCCUGAUGGAGGGGGAUAACUACUGGAAACGGUAGCUAAUACCGCAUAACGUCGCAAGACCAAAGAGGGGGACCUUCGGGCCUCUUGCCAUCAGAUGUGCCCAGAUGGGAUUAGCUAGUAGGUGGGGUAACGGCUCA
Molecule: ribosomal RNA, 259 nt
Filed under: Enterobacteriaceae bacterium R-32559
Lineage: Bacteria; Pseudomonadati; Pseudomonadota; Gammaproteobacteria; Enterobacterales; Enterobacteriaceae
Description: partial 16S ribosomal RNA
Rfam family: Bacterial small subunit ribosomal RNA
Source: RNAcentral